RNAcentral lists this ribosomal RNA (456 nucleotides) under uncultured bacterium. RNAcentral describes it as "bacterial SSU rRNA". It matches the Rfam family "Bacterial small subunit ribosomal RNA", at positions 340 to 786 of the family's 1533-position model. The record is from RNAcentral.
UACGGGAGGCAGCAGUGGGGAAUAUUGCACAAUGGGCGAAAGCCUGAUGCAGCUAUGCCGCGUGUAUGAAGAAGGCCUUAGGGUUGUAAAGUACUUUCAUCGGGGAGGAAAAACAAAACUAAUAAUUUUAUUUCUUGACGUUACCCGAAAAAGAAGCACCGGCUAACUCCGUGCCAGCAGCCGCGGUAAUACGGAGGGUGCUAGCGUUAAUCAGAAUUACUGGGCGUAAAAGAGCACGUAGGUGGUUUUUUUAAGUCAGAUGUGAAAUCCCUGGGCUUAACCUAGGAACUGCAUUUUGAAACUGAAAUACUAGAGUAUCGUAGAGGGAGGUAGAAUUCUAGGUGUAGCGGUGAAAUGCGUAGAUAUCUGGAGGAAUACCUGUGGCGAAAGCGGCCUCCUAAACGAAUACUGACACUGAGGUGCGAAAGCGUGGGGAGCAAACAGGGAUUAGAUACC